This 253-nucleotide ribosomal RNA is filed under the name uncultured bacterium. Its description in RNAcentral is "partial 16S ribosomal RNA". It matches the Rfam family "Bacterial small subunit ribosomal RNA", at positions 524 to 776 of the family's 1533-position model. The record is from RNAcentral.
UACGUAGGUGGCAAGCGUUAUCCGGAAUUAUUGGGCGUAAAGAGCGCGCAGGUGGUUAAUUAAGUCUGAUGUGAAAGCCCACGGCUCAACCGUGGAGGGUCAUUGGAAACUGGUUAACUUGAGUGCAGAAGAGGGUAGUGGAAUUCCAUGUGUAGCGGUGAAAUGCGUAGAGAUAUGGAGGAACACCAGUGGCGAAGGCGGCUACCUGGUCUGUAACUGACACUGAGGCGCGAAAGCGUGGGGAGCAAACAGG